UUUGGGUUGGCAGAUGAGUGUAAUCGAUUUAGGAUCGAUGGAUAGGAUUAAGUUAACCUACCCAAAA
RNAcentral lists this transfer RNA (67 nucleotides) under Nautilus macromphalus (bellybutton nautilus). RNAcentral describes it as "tRNA-Leu". Lineage: Eukaryota; Metazoa; Mollusca; Cephalopoda; Nautilida; Nautilidae. The record is from RNAcentral.